UACGGGGGGGGCAAGCGUUGUUCGGAAUUACUGGGCGUAAAGGGCUCGUAGGCGGCCAACUAAGUCGGAUGUGAAAUCCCCAGGCUUAACCUGGGAACUGCAUCCGAUACUGGAUGGCUUGAAUCCGGGAGAGGGAUGCAGAAUUCCAGGUGUAGCGGUGAAAUGCGUAGAUAUCUGGAGGAAUACCGGUGGCGAAGGCGGCAUCCUGGACCGACAUUGACGCUGAGGAGCGAAAGCUAGGGGAGCAAACGGG
Molecule: ribosomal RNA, 253 nt
Filed under: uncultured bacterium
Lineage: Bacteria
Description: partial 16S ribosomal RNA
Rfam family: Bacterial small subunit ribosomal RNA
Source: RNAcentral